GACGAACGCUGGCGGCGUGCCUAAUACAUGCAAGUAGGACGCAGUUGCGAACGGGAGAGUAACGCGUAGGUAACUACCUAUUAGAGGGGGAUAACUAUUGGAAACGCUAGCUAAUACCGCAUACUAGUAGCUGGACCUGCGUUGUAUUAGCUAGUAGGUAGGGUAAUGGCCUACCUAGGCAACGAUACAUAGCCGACCUGAGGAGGGGGUCGGCCAAACUGGGACUGAGACAAGGCCCCGACUCCUGAGGGAGGCAGCAGUAGGGAAUCUUCGGCCAUGGGGGGAACCCUGACCGAGGAACGCCGCGUGAGUGGAGAAGGUUUUCGGAUUGUAAAGCUCUGUUGUUAAGGGAGCGGUACUUAACCAGAAAGGGACGGCUAACUACGUGCCAGCAGCCGCGGUAAUUC
RNAcentral lists this ribosomal RNA (407 nucleotides) under uncultured bacterium. Its description in RNAcentral is "partial 16S ribosomal RNA". It matches the Rfam family "Bacterial small subunit ribosomal RNA", at positions 28 to 526 of the family's 1533-position model. The record is from RNAcentral.